RNAcentral lists this long non-coding RNA (1806 nucleotides) under Hordeum vulgare. RNAcentral's name for it is "long non-coding RNA (HVUL_LNC012145)". Lineage: Eukaryota; Viridiplantae; Streptophyta; Magnoliopsida; Poales; Poaceae. The record is from RNAcentral.
CAUUAUUGUCAGUUCAUCCGCUUUAGUCGCUUCAGCUACCGGUUCCUUUUAGCAGUAGCAUCAUCCACUUGGUCAUCUUUGUGGUUCUCGAUUUGUCGCCUUUAGUUCGUUGAGGUCUUCUGGGGUCUGUCUCAGGAGACGUCUCUUUAAAAUGUCAGGGUUGUUGACUUGGCAUACAAAUUUAGUUACCGUAUCCAACUAGUGAGUGAGUGUCUCAGCGUCCUUUUGAUUUAAUCCAUUCCAAUGUAUGUGGUCCUUUUGAUUUAGUCGAUUCCGGUGUAUGGGGUUUGGCUCCCUUCGCUUCGAAAGGGGGCCAUCGGUACUAUAUUAUUUUCAUAGAUGAUUUCUCUCGUUACACUUGGCUUUAUUUUAUGACUUCUCGCAGUGAGGUUUUGUCCAUCUAUAAGCGUUUUGCUGCCAUGGUCACACUCAGUUCUCUUCGCCCAUUCGUGUGUUUCGUGCUUACUCCGCUGGCGAGGAUAUUUCUAAGAUGCUGCGUGGUUUCUUGCUGAGCAGGGGACUCUUUCUCAGUUCUCUCGUCCUGGUGCUCAUGCUUAAAAUGGCGUGGCUAAGCGCAAGCAUCGUCACCUUCUUGAGACAACCCGUGCAUUGAUGAUCGCCGCCUCUCUUCCACCUCAUUUUUGGGUUGAGUGUCUCCACCUCCACCUGUCUCAUCAAUCUUUAGCUGUCCCCUGCUCUACAGGGUGGUGAGACAACCCGUGCAUUGAUGAUCGCCGCCUCUCUUCCACCUCAUUUUUGGGUUGAGUGUCUCCACCUCCACCUGUCUCAUCAAUCUUUAGCUGUCCCCUGCUCUACAGGGUGGUGAGACAACCCGUGCAUUGAUGAUCGCCGCCUCUCUUCCGCCUCAUUUUUGGGCUGAGUGUCUCCACCUCCACCUAUCUCAUCAAUCUUUAGCUGUCCCCUGCUCUACAGGGUGGUGUUCCUUUCGAGCGUCUUUUUGACCGUUCUCCUAAUUAUUCGAUGCUUUGUUUGUUUUAUGUUCUUCUUGCCCCCCGUGAGUGUCUUCUUAGGCUAUAGCGAGGAGCAUAAGGGUUAUCGUUGUUGUGAUCCUAUCGAUUGUCGGGUGCGUAUUUCUCGGGAUGUAACUUCUGACAAGUCUCGUCCCUUCUACUGAUAACCUACAAGUAUUGGGGAUCGCAACAGUCUUCACAUGUAGUAUUUCAUCCUAAUUUAUUGAUUCGACACAAGGGGAGCCAAAAAUAUUUAUUGGCCUUGACAGUUAAGUUGUCAAUUCAACCGUACCUGAGAUAUCUCUUUGCAGCAAGGAUUUAGUAGCACAACAAAUGAUAACAGUUACAGUGAUAGCAUUAAUUUUGGUAAAAGUAGUAACAAUAGCAAACGAGUAGCAGGUGUGACAGUAGCAGCAACAGUAAUAACUUAGCAAGAUUCGGUAUAUGUAAAGCAUAGGCACGUGGAUCGGUGAUGGAUAAUAAUUUAGAUGACAUUAAUCAUGUAACAGUUACACACUAGGGCGGCACAGAACCAACUCUAAUUCAUCAAUAUAAUGUAGGCAUGUAUUCCGUAUAUAGUCAUGCGUGCUUGCGAUAAGAACUUGCAUGAUAUCUUUUAUCCUAACCUCUCGUGGCAGCGGGGUCUUAUUGGAAACUUAGGGAUAUUAAGGUUUCCUUUUAAUAGAGAACCGGAACAAAGCAUUAACACAUGGUGAAUAUGCAUUAACACAUGGUGAAUACAUGAACUCCUCAAACUACGGCAAUCACCGAAAAGAAUCCCAAUUAUUGUCAUCUUGGGAUAUGCGGAUCAGGACAUGUAAUAGGUGCAUACAAC